GAUGAAGAACGUAGCGAAAUGCGAUAAGUAAUGCGAAUUGCAGAAUCCGUGAGUCAUCGAAUCUUUGAACGCACAUUGCGCCCCUUGGUAUUCCAUGGGGCAUGCCUGUUCGAGCGUCAUUUGUACAUUCAAGCCUUGUUUGGUGUUGGGCGUCUUGUCCUGCCUUUUGCGCAUGGACUCGCCUUAAAUCCAUUGGCAGUCGGCAAUCUGGCGUGGGAGCGCAGCACAUUUUGCGCUCCUCCCCGUGUAUUGCGGCGUCCAUGAAGCCUAUAUUCUAGCGCUUGACCUCGGAUCAGGUAGGGAUACCCGCUGAACUUAAGCAUAUCAAUAAGCGGAGGA
Molecule: unclassified non-coding RNA, 339 nt
Filed under: soil metagenome
Description: partial contains 5.8S ribosomal RNA, internal transcribed spacer 2, and large subunit ribosomal RNA
Rfam family: 5.8S ribosomal RNA (bases 1-119)
Source: RNAcentral